Molecule: ribosomal RNA, 447 nt
Filed under: uncultured bacterium
Lineage: Bacteria
Description: partial 16S ribosomal RNA
Rfam family: Bacterial small subunit ribosomal RNA
Source: RNAcentral
AGCGAACGCUGGCGGCAGGCCUAACACAUGCAAGUCGAGCGCCCCGCAAGGGGAGCGGCAGACGGGAGAGUAACGCGUGGGAACGUGCCCUUUGGUUCGGAACAACCCAGGGAAACUUGGGCUAAUACCGUAUGAUGCAGAGAUGCCAAAGAUUUAUCGCCUUGGGAUAAGCCCGCGUCAGAUUAGGUAGUUGGUGGGGUAACGGCCUACCAAGCCUGUGAUCUGUAGCUGGUCUGAGAGGACGAUCAGCCACAUUGGGACUGAGACGCGGCCCAAACUCCUACGGGAGGCAGCAGUGGGGAAUCUUGCGCAAUGGGCGAAAGCCUGACGCAGCCAUGCCGCGUGAAUGAUGAAGGUCUUAGGAUUGUAAAGUUCUUUCGCUCGUGACGAUGAUGACGGUAACGAGAGAAGAAGCCCCGGCUAACUUCGUGCCAGCCGCCGCAGUAA